GAAGCGCGCCAGACCGCCGCUGGUGCAAUCUGGGAAACCAGGCACUGGAGGAACGUCCGGACUGCACAGGACAGCGUAGCAGCUAACGGCUGCCCACCGUGAGGUGAGGAUCAGAGCAACAGAGACGAGUCGGAGCAGGCAGCAGCCACCGAAGGUGUUCUAUCGGUCACCCGCGCAAGCGGGUACGGCUGGCGCAAGCCAGACGGUUUGUGGCGCAAGCCGCAAAGACCCUAGCCACCCGAAGCGGGCGGCGCCCGCUUCGGGUGAAACGGGCAAUCUCUACGCGCAGCAAUACCAAGUAGGCCAACGUUGAUGUGGUUCCGCAGAGUUGGCGGGUAGGUAGCACCGAGCCGUGGUGGCGACACCCGGCCCAGAUUAAUGGCGGUCACACUGCGGGCAACCGUGGUGCACAGAAUCCGGCUUAUCGGCGCGCUUCACAC
This 440-nucleotide RNase P RNA is filed under the name Acidovorax sp. Root267. RNAcentral's name for it is "bacterial RNase P". It matches the Rfam family "Bacterial RNase P class A". From Rfam's summary of the family: Ribonuclease P (RNase P) is a ubiquitous endoribonuclease, found in archaea, bacteria and eukarya as well as chloroplasts and mitochondria. Its best characterised activity is the generation of mature 5'-ends of tRNAs by cleaving the 5'-leader elements of precursor-tRNAs. Cellular RNase Ps are ribonucleoproteins. Lineage: Bacteria; Pseudomonadati; Pseudomonadota; Betaproteobacteria; Burkholderiales; Comamonadaceae. The record is from RNAcentral.